This 621-nucleotide ribosomal RNA is filed under the name Bacillus thuringiensis. RNAcentral describes it as "bacterial SSU rRNA". It matches the Rfam family "Bacterial small subunit ribosomal RNA", at positions 55 to 669 of the family's 1533-position model. The record is from RNAcentral. Lineage: Bacteria; Bacillati; Bacillota; Bacilli; Caryophanales; Bacillaceae.
AUGCAAGUCGAGCGAAUGGAUUGAGAGCUUGCUCUCAAGAAGUUAGCGGCGGACGGGUGAGUAACACGUGGGUAACCUGCCCAUAAGACUGGGAUAACUCCGGGAAACCGGGGCUAAUACCGGAUAACAUUUUGAACUGCAUGGUUCGAAAUUGAAAGGCGGCUUCGGCUGUCACCUUAUGGAUGGACCCGCCGUCGCAUUAGCUAGUUGGUGAGGUAACGGCUCACCAAGGCAACCGAUGCCGUAGCCGACCUGAGAGGGUGAUCGGGCCACACUGGGACUGAGACACGGCCCAGACUCCUACGGGAGGCAGCAGUAGGGAAUCUUCCGCAAUGGACGAAAGUCUGACGGAGCAACCCCGCGUGAGUGAUGAAGGCUUUCGGGUCGUAAAACUCUGUUGUUAGGGAAGAACAAGUGCUAGUUGAAUAAGCUGGCCCUUGACGGUCCUAACCAGAAAGCCACGGCUACUACGCCAGCAGCCGGUAAUACGUAGGUGGCAAGCGUUUCCGAAUUUGGGCGUAAAGCGCCCCAGGUGGUUCUUAAGUCUGAUGGGAAACCCCCGGCCAACCGUGGAGGGUCAUUGGAACUGGGAGACUUGGUGCAGAAGAGAAAGUGGAUUCC